RNAcentral lists this ribosomal RNA (424 nucleotides) under Fusobacteriota bacterium. RNAcentral describes it as "Fusobacteria bacterium partial 16S ribosomal RNA". It matches the Rfam family "Bacterial small subunit ribosomal RNA", at positions 355 to 776 of the family's 1533-position model. Lineage: Bacteria; Fusobacteriati; Fusobacteriota. The record is from RNAcentral.
UGAGGAAUAUUGGUCAAUGGGCGAGAGCCUGAACCAGCCAAGUAGCGUGCAGGAUGACGGCCCUAUGGGUUGUAAACUGCUUUUAUGCGGGGAUAAAGUGCGCGACGUGUCGUGCAUUGCAGGUACCGCAUGAAUAAGGACCGGCUAAUUCCGUGCCAGCAGCCGCGGUAAUACGGAAGGUCCGGGCGCUAUCCGGAUUUAUUGGGUUUAUAGGGAGUGUAGGCCGCCAGAUAAGCGUGUUGUGAAAGGUACCGGCUCAACCGGUGAAUUGCAGUGCGCACCCUUUGGCUUGAGUGCGCAGUAAGCAGGCGGAUUUCAUGGUUUAGCGGUGAAUUGCUUAGAUAUCAUGAAGAACUCCGAUUGCGAAGGCAGCUUGCUGCAGUGCGACUGACGCUGAUGCUCGAAGGUGGGGGUAUCAAACAGG